Long non-coding RNA from Chinchilla lanigera (long-tailed chinchilla), 722 nucleotides. RefSeq lists it as uncharacterized. The record is from RefSeq and is a predicted model, not a curated record. The transcript is spliced from 6 exons. NCBI's taxonomy places the organism in Eukaryota, Metazoa, Chordata, Mammalia, Rodentia, Chinchillidae.
GGAGGGUACAUAUGGAGCCUGGGAAAUCACAUCUUGGGGGACUAUGACAGCUUGGGCAUGAAUAAGUUUUACAAGAUCACUGACAGCCCGGUACCAGGAAAGGCUGGGGUGCUGGGCCCUGAAGCCCUCAAGAUGCAGGAGUGGGGGAACUCUGAGAGGCAUGGGAAGCUGGACUUCUUUGCUGACAACAAGCCAUGAAAACUUUGUGAUCACACUCAACCCAGAGAUUUUACAGGCAUAGCAAAUCCCCAUUACCCAGAAUCUGUCAUCAAGGAAGUGCCAAGAACAGAAAGGUCUGGAAGCUUAUCCAAGAACUAUCACACUUUCAAGAGCUGGGGAGAGAUGGCAUGGAAAUGGCAGCUCUCACCAGCAGGCACACAGGACUGAGGCCCCUGCCUGAUGGCCCACUGGGCUGUUCCACACCUGCUGGAUUUCUUAUCAUGGAGUGUGACCAAGGAUGGACUUGAUUGCUUCAUCAGAACCCGUCUCUGAGGCUCGGAUCCGUGUGGUGAUGUUACCUGUGGGAAAAAGUCACAGCGAUGAUAUCAAAUCAAACUUUGGGUAACAAAAUCAAUGUCAUAUGAAGACAUCACUUUGAUAAAUGGCCCGGAGCUGAGGUCAGUGGUAUAAGGAGGUUCCAGGCCAGAAUCAUACUGCACAGUUUUAACCCAAAAAACACAGCUAAUGACAUGCUGCUUCCUAGGUUACUGACUGCAAAGAAA